Long non-coding RNA from Canis lupus familiaris (dog), 497 nucleotides. RefSeq lists it as uncharacterized. The transcript is spliced from 4 exons. The record is from RefSeq and is a predicted model, not a curated record. Lineage: Eukaryota; Metazoa; Chordata; Mammalia; Carnivora; Canidae.
GCUAAAAUUAUAACCCUGAAAGCCCCUGCUGCCUAUUAGUCAUUUGGUACAUGACACAAAGCAAAAUGUAUUGUGCAUUCUUGGACUUCAGAUUGGCUCUUAGUACACUGGCUGUUUGAUUGCAUUUUUUGACCUGCAAAAUAUUCAGCUUUCUGAAAGUUUAAACCAUCCAAAAACUCAAGAGAUGUAGGGGCAAAACUGAGGUGCCAGACUGAAGCAUCUGGGAGGCUAUGGAGUGCUUUACAAAUGUACUCUGUUGUAGAUAAGAACUUGUGCAAGAGCAUGCCUACGAUAACGUGAUGUGAAUACAGGGACAGCGCCUUUCAUUCCUCCAGAUGCGCUGGAAACGAUGGUUUGUCAAGUGAUUCACAAGAUGUGAAGAGUGGGGGAACAUUUGUCUUAUCUUGAAAUAAAUGCAGUAUUAUAUAGGAGCCACCAGGAGGAAAAUUUCCUAUUGGGAGAAUUUCAGGACCCGUGCCAAGAAGAAAGAGAUGCCC